GGAACCACCAGGAGAAAUGUGCUCCUUGGCUCCAGGGCUGCUAAAGAUGCAAGAGGUAAGAGCAAGGCUGGUGCGGCUGCCGGAGGAGGAAGUUCCUGAGGAGGUGGCCAGUGGGAGUGGAGAGAGGGGUGCAUAGAGGUGGACCAGGCUGGGGGCUGACAUGGUUCAAGCCCUGAAUCUGGCCACACUGGACGUCUGGGCACUCAGAGGAUUCGAGUCAGCGUAUCCCCCUCUGGCCUCAGCCGGCCCGUCUGUCCAUCGACCACAGCCGAGAGGACCCAACUCUUGGGGUCGAUGAGCCAUUGUCGGCUGUGGAGGACUGUCCAGAGUGGGCUGAGCUGGCCAGGAAGGCUUCCUGGAAGAGGUGUUACCCGGAGCCUUGGAGGAUGAGAAGGAAGGAAGAGGGAAACACUUCUGGUCUCCUGGUACAUUUGAGAACCUGGUGAGGCCAUCUUUACUUUCCUCAUCUAGAUGAGAGGGUUAAGGUCAGGAGGACCCGUCGCUCCAUCAGGCCAGAUAUGGACCUGGGU
Molecule: long non-coding RNA, 530 nt
Organism: Bos taurus (domestic cattle)
Lineage: Eukaryota; Metazoa; Chordata; Mammalia; Artiodactyla; Bovidae
Source: Ensembl